This 1858-nucleotide unclassified non-coding RNA is filed under the name Hevea brasiliensis (rubber tree). The record is from RNAcentral. Lineage: Eukaryota; Viridiplantae; Streptophyta; Magnoliopsida; Malpighiales; Euphorbiaceae.
GUCAAGAUCAGAUAAAAAUUAUAGUUGGAGUAUCCGUCGGGAUUGGGUUAUUGCUUGCUCUUCUGAUCAUCUGUGCAGCAACUAUGUGCAGGAAGAAGAAGAGAAAGCAUGAGCAUACGCAAUAUUAUGGAGACUAUCAAGGAGGCGGUGAUAAAUAUUACCAAAGCACAGUCCAGCAAAACUGGCACAAUGGUCCCCACGGAUCAGAGCACAUCAUGAAGCCAUCUCAAUCACCAGCACCAGGCGUUGGCUGGCAUGGACCUCCUCCGCCUCCCCAGAUGAUGAUGAGCGGCGAAAUGAUGAGCUCCAAUUUCUCCGGUCCACACCGUCCUCCCUUGCCACCUCCGUCGCCAAAUAUUGCUCUUGGGUUCAACAAAAGUACCUUCACAUACGAUGAACUUGCAGCAGCUACAGGAGGGUUUGCUCAGGCCAAUUUAUUGGGUCAGGGUGGAUUUGGUUUUGUGCACAAGGGUGUGUUGCCUAAUGGAAAGGAAAUUGCAGUUAAGAGUCUCAAGUCUGGUAGUGGACAAGGAGAGCGAGAAUUCCAGGCUGAAGUUGAGAUCAUUAGCCGUGUCCAUCACCGCCAUCUAGUGUCCCUUGUUGGAUAUUGUAUUGCUGGAGGGCAACGAAUGUUGGUUUAUGAAUUUGUUCCCAAUAACACCUUGGAACAUCACCUCUAUGGGAAAGGUCUUCCGGUUAUGGAUUGGACAACAAGGCUCCGUAUUGCGUUAGGCUCUGCCAAAGGGCUUGCUUAUCUCCAUGAAGAUUGCCAUCCUCGGAUUAUUCAUCGUGAUAUCAAGGCUGCUAAUAUUCUCCUUGAUUAUAACUUUGAAGCCAUGGUAGCUGAUUUUGGAUUGGCUAAGCUAUCUUCUGACAAUUAUACUCAUGUCUCAACUCGUGUCAUGGGUACAUUUGGGUAUUUGGCUCCAGAGUAUGCAUCAAGUGGGAAAUUGACGGAGAAAUCAGAUGUUUUCUCAUUUGGGGUCAUGCUUUUGGAACUCAUAACUGGAAAGAGACCUGUGGAUCCUACAAACGCAAUGGAAGAUAGCUUAGUGGAUUGGGCUCGACCACUUCUAAAUCGCUCCUUGGAUGAUGGCAACCAUAGAGAGUUGGUCGAUUUGCGGUUGGAGAAUAACUUCAACCCUGAAGAGAUGCAGCGCAUGGUUGCCUGUGCUGCUGCCAGCAUUCGCCAUUCUGCAAGAAAGCGCCCAAAAAUGAGUCAGAUAGUACGUGCCCUGGAAGGGGAUGUUUCACUGGAUGAUUUAAACGAGGGAGCGAAGCCUGGCCACAGUACUGUGUUCGGUAGUGCAAAUGGAAGCUCUGACUACGAUGCAAGUUCAUAUAAUGCAGAUAUGAAGAAGUUUAGGCAAGUGGCAUUGUCAAGCCAAGAAUUUGGGAGCAGUGAAAUUGGAACUCCAAGCACCGACUCCAGAGAGAUGUCCCCUGUAGGUCGCAAGAACUAAUUUAUGAGCAGCAGGCAGCAACAUAAGCACAUGCACCAAAGACUUAGACAAAGCUUGAAUGCCCAAGUAUUGGCCAUUUUGGAGGUUAAGAACAACAAAUAUAUGCAUGACAUUAUCUCACCAUUGUUUUUAAUUCAUUUGUUGAUUUGGAACUUGUGUUUGUUCAAAGGGUUUAACUUAGAAAAUGGAGAUUGAAAAUAUAAGGACCAAGAUCGCACGCUCUGGAUCUUUCAGUAAUGGAAUUGCUAUUUUUCUUUCAUUUUGUAAGUUGUAGCAUUCAUAAUUCCAUGGACUUCAAGUUCAGGGGCAAAUUCAGCUUCUAUUGUGAACAUGAGUUGUUUGUGUUAUUACGUACACCUUGUAGAAACUUUUUAAAUGAACCUUUUUCAUCCUUU